AUCCCCUCGACCGCGUAGUGAAAGUAACGGUUUUCUACCCUCGGGUGGACAGGGAGGACAGGUGGUGCAUGGUUGUCGUCAGCUCGUGUCGUGAGAUGUUGGGUUAAGUCCCGCAACGAGCGCAACCCCUACGUUUAGUUGCUAACGCGUGAAGGCGAGCACUCUAGACGAACUGCCGUUGACAAAACGGAGGAAGGUGGGAUGACGUCAAAUCAUCAUGCCCCUUAUGUUCUGGGCUACACACGUGCUACAAUGGCCGGUACAGACGGACGCAAAGCCGCGAGGUGGAGCAAAUCCUAAAAAGCCGGUCUCAGUUCGGAUUGCAGGCUGCAAUUCGCCUGCAUGAAGUCGGAAUCGCUAGUAAUCGCAGGUCAGCAUACUGCGGUGAAUACGUUCCCGGGUCUU
RNAcentral lists this ribosomal RNA (405 nucleotides) under uncultured Pelotomaculum sp. Its description in RNAcentral is "bacterial SSU rRNA". It matches the Rfam family "Bacterial small subunit ribosomal RNA", at positions 986 to 1382 of the family's 1533-position model. The record is from RNAcentral. Lineage: Bacteria; Bacillati; Bacillota; Clostridia; Eubacteriales; Desulfotomaculaceae.